RNAcentral lists this ribosomal RNA (329 nucleotides) under uncultured eukaryote. RNAcentral describes it as "partial 18S ribosomal RNA". It matches the Rfam family "Eukaryotic small subunit ribosomal RNA", at positions 1470 to 1796 of the family's 1831-position model. The record is from RNAcentral.
CCCUUAGAUGUUCUGGGCCGCACGCGCGCUACACUGACGAUGGCAACGAGUUUUUCCUUCGCCGAAAGGUGUGGGUAAUCCUUUGAAACAUCGUCGUGCUGGGGAUAGAUCAUUGCAAUUUUUGAUCUUGAACGAGGAAUUCCUAGUAAGCGCGAGUCAUCAGCUCGCGUUGAUUACGUCCCUGCCCUUUGUACACACCGCCCGUCGCUACUACCGAUUGAAUGGUUUAGUGAGGACUCCUGAUUGGCGCCGCCGCCCCGGCAACGGAGCAGCGGACUGCCGAAAAGUUGUUCAAACUUGAUCAUUUAGAGGAAGUAAAAGUCGUAACA